RNAcentral lists this ribosomal RNA (1522 nucleotides) under Salmonella enterica subsp. enterica serovar Heidelberg. Its description in RNAcentral is "bacterial SSU rRNA". It matches the Rfam family "Bacterial small subunit ribosomal RNA". The record is from RNAcentral. Lineage: Bacteria; Pseudomonadati; Pseudomonadota; Gammaproteobacteria; Enterobacterales; Enterobacteriaceae.
AGAGUUUGAUCAUGGCUCAGAUUGAACGCUGGCGGCAGGCCUAACACAUGCAAGUCGAACGGUAACAGGAAGCAGCUUGCUGCUUUGCUGACGAGUGGCGGACGGGUGAGUAAUGUCUGGGAAACUGCCUGAUGGAGGGGGAUAACUACUGGAAACGGUGGCUAAUACCGCAUAACGUCGCAAGACCAAAGAGGGGGACCUUCGGGCCUCUUGCCAUCAGAUGUGCCCAGAUGGGAUUAGCUAGUUGGUGAGGUAACGGCUCACCAAGGCGACGAUCCCUAGCUGGUCUGAGAGGAUGACCAGCCACACUGGAACUGAGACACGGUCCAGACUCCUACGGGAGGCAGCAGUGGGGAAUAUUGCACAAUGGGCGCAAGCCUGAUGCAGCCAUGCCGCGUGUAUGAAGAAGGCCUUCGGGUUGUAAAGUACUUUCAGCGGGGAGGAAGGUGUUGUGGUUAAUAACCACAGCAAUUGACGUUACCCGCAGAAGAAGCACCGGCUAACUCCGUGCCAGCAGCCGCGGUAAUACGGAGGGUGCAAGCGUUAAUCGGAAUUACUGGGCGUAAAGCGCACGCAGGCGGUCUGUCAAGUCGGAUGUGAAAUCCCCGGGCUCAACCUGGGAACUGCAUUCGAAACUGGCAGGCUUGAGUCUUGUAGAGGGGGGUAGAAUUCCAGGUGUAGCGGUGAAAUGCGUAGAGAUCUGGAGGAAUACCGGUGGCGAAGGCGGCCCCCUGGACAAAGACUGACGCUCAGGUGCGAAAGCGUGGGGAGCAAACAGGAUUAGAUACCCUGGUAGUCCACGCCGUAAACGAUGUCUACUUGGAGGUUGUGCCCUUGAGGCGUGGCUUCCGGAGCUAACGCGUUAAGUAGACCGCCUGGGGAGUACGGCCGCAAGGUUAAAACUCAAAUGAAUUGACGGGGGCCCGCACAAGCGGUGGAGCAUGUGGUUUAAUUCGAUGCAACGCGAAGAACCUUACCUGGUCUUGACAUCCACGGAAGUUUUCAGAGAUGGAAUGGUGCCUUCGGGAACCGUGAGACAGGUGCUGCAUGGCUGUCGUCAGCUCGUGUUGUGAAAUGUUGGGUUAAGUCCCGCAACGAGCGCAACCCUUAUCCUUUGUUGCCAGCGAUUAGGUCGGGAACUCAAAGGAGACUGCCAGUGAUAAACUGGAGGAAGGUGGGGAUGACGUCAAGUCAUCAUGGCCCUUACGACCAGGGCUACACACGUGCUACAAUGGCGCAUACAAAGAGAAGCGACCUCGCGAGAGCAAGCGGACCUCAUAAAGUGCGUCGUAGUCCGGAUUGGAGUCUGCAACUCGACUCCAUGAAGUCGGAAUCGCUAGUAAUCGUGGAUCAGAAUGCCACGGUGAAUACGUUCCCGGGCCUUGUACACACCGCCCGUCACACCAUGGGAGUGGGUUGCAAAAGAAGUAGGUAGCUUAACCUUCGGGAGGGCGCUUACCACUUUGUGAUUCAUGACUGGGGUGAAGUCGUAACAAGGUAACCGUAGGGGAACCUGCGGUUG